UAAAACGCUUUGACUUGAGAAUAGUAAAUGAAUAUCCGUUUUCUAAGAGAGCUGCGGGGUGGUGCAACGCAGUAAAACGAAUCAUUGAACUCGCUCAAGGAGCGGCAAGACUGAAUAAAUAAGUAAGUCUUUACGUGUGACCUCCGUUAUCGGGUUUCAAGUUGGAUUCAGCUAUGUCUGAGUCAAUAAGAGUGGUAACGCGGUUGCAAGGUCAGUCGUCUCUUCA
Molecule: non-coding RNA, 226 nt
Filed under: Bacillus pumilus
Lineage: Bacteria; Bacillati; Bacillota; Bacilli; Caryophanales; Bacillaceae
Description: T-box sequence
Rfam family: T-box leader
About the family: Uncharged tRNA acts as the effector for transcription antitermination of genes in the T-box leader family. T-boxes are found upstream of many aminoacyl-tRNA synthetase genes and some amino acid biosynthetic genes usually in Gram-positive bacteria. The anticodon of a specific tRNA base pairs to a specifier sequence within the T-box motif, and the NCCA acceptor tail of the tRNA base pairs to a conserved bulge in the T-box antiterminator hairpin.
Source: RNAcentral